CCCGCUGAACUUAAGCAUAUCAAUAAGCGGAGGAAAAGAAACUAACAAGGAUUCCCCUAGUAACUGCGAGUGAAGCGGGAAGAGCUCAAAUUUAAAAUCUGACAGUCUCUGAUUGUUCGAGUUGUAAUCUAGAGAAGCAUUAUCCGCACUGGACUGUGUACAAGUCUUCUGGAAUGGAGCAUCGUAGAGGGUGAGAAUCCCGUCUUUGACACAGACUACCAGAGCUUUGUGAUGUGCUCUCAAAGAGUCGAGUUGUUUGGGAAUGCAGCUCUAAAUGGGUGGUAAAUUCCAUCUAAAGCUAAAUAUUGGCGAGAGACCGAUAGCGAACAAGUACCGUGAGGGAAAGAUGAAAAGAACUUUGGAAAGAGAGUUAAACAGUACGUGAAACUGUUGAAAGGGAAACGCUUGAAGUCAGUCCUGUUGGUCAGGAAUCAACCUUGCUUUUUUGCUUGGUGCACUUUCUGUUCCAACAGGUCAGCAUCAAUUUUGACCAGUGGGAAAAAGUUGAGUGAAUGUGGCAUCUUUAGAUGUGUUAUAGCACUUGAUUGCAUGCAUUGGGUGGCAUUGAGGUAUUCAGCACGCCGAAAGUCCGCAUUUUUACAUCACGCUCGUGCAUAGUAUGCUGGCAUAAUGGCUAUAAUCAACCAGUCUAGAAACACGA
RNAcentral lists this ribosomal RNA (661 nucleotides) under uncultured fungus. Its description in RNAcentral is "eukaryotic LSU rRNA". It matches the Rfam family "Eukaryotic large subunit ribosomal RNA", at positions 24 to 665 of the family's 3401-position model. The record is from RNAcentral. Lineage: Eukaryota; Fungi.